UAUACACCCCAGCAUAGGGAAAAG
This 24-nucleotide unclassified non-coding RNA is filed under the name Mus musculus (house mouse). Its description in RNAcentral is "oocyte_clustered_small_RNA4029". The record is from RNAcentral. Lineage: Eukaryota; Metazoa; Chordata; Mammalia; Rodentia; Muridae.